ACACACGGAUAACAUACCGAAAGGUAUGCUAAUACGGGAUAAUAUAUUUGAGAGGCAUCUCUUAAAUAUCAAAGGUGAGCCAGUACAGGAUGGACCCGCGUCUGAUUAGCUAGUUGGUAAGGUAACGGCUUACCAAGGCAACGAUCAGUAGCCGACCUGAGAGGGUGAUCGGCCACAUUGGAACUGAGACACGGUCCAAACUCCUACGGGAGGCAGCAGUGGGGAAUAUUGCACAAUGGGCGAAAGCCUGAUGCAGCAACGCCGCGUGAGUGAUGAAGGCCUUCGGGUCGUAAAACUCUGUCCUCAAGGAAGAUAAUGACGGUACUUGAGGAGGAAGCCCCGGCUAACUACGUGCCAGCAGCCGCGGUAAUACGUAGGGGGCUAGCGUUAUCCGGAUUUACUGGGCGUAAAGGGUGCGUAGGCGGUCUUUCAAGUCAGGAGUGAAAGGCUACGGCUCAACCGUAGUAAGCUCUUGAAACUGGGAGACUUGAGUGCGGGAGAGGAGAGUGGAAUUCCUAGUGUAGCGGUGAAAUGCGUAGAUAUUAGGAGGAACACCAGUUGCGAAGGCGGCUCUCUGGACUGUAACUGACGCUGAGGCACGAAAGCGUGGGGAGCAAACAGGAUUAGAUACCCUGGUAGUCCACGCUGUAAACGAUGAGUACUAGGUGUCGGGGGUUACCCCCUUCGGUGCCGCAGCUA
RNAcentral lists this ribosomal RNA (699 nucleotides) under uncultured bacterium. RNAcentral's name for it is "bacterial SSU rRNA". It matches the Rfam family "Bacterial small subunit ribosomal RNA", at positions 135 to 854 of the family's 1533-position model. The record is from RNAcentral.